GUAGAAGAAGCUUGCUUUUUUGAGACCGGCGCACGGGUGAGUAACGCGUAUGCAACCUACCUUAUACAGGGGAAUAGCCCGAAGAAAUUCGGAUUAAUGCUCCAUGGUUUAUCGAUAUGGCAUCGUAUUGAUAAUAAAGAUUUAUCGGUAUAAGAUGGGCAUGCGUAUCAUUAGCUAGUUGGUGUGGUAACGGCAUACCAAGGCAACGAUGAUUAGGGGUCCUGAGAGGGAGAUCCCCCACACUGGUACUGAGACACGGACCAGACUCCUACGGGAGGCAGCAGUGAGGAAUAUUGGUCAAUGGAGGCAACUCUGAACCAGCCAUGCCGCGUGCAGGAUGACGGUCCUAUGGAUUGUAAACUGCUUUUGUACAGGAAGAAACCUCCCUACGAGUAGGGACUUGACGGUACUGUAAGAAUAAGGAUCGGCUAACUCCGUGCCAGCAGCCGCGGUAAUACGGAGGAUCCGAGCGUUAUCCGGAAUUAUUGGGUUUAAAGGGUUCGUAGGCGGCUUUGUAAGUCAGUGGUGAAAUUUCCUAGCUUAACUAGGACACUGCCAUUGAUACUGCAGAGCUUGAAUAAUAUGGAAGUAACUAGAAUAUGUAGUGUAGCGGUGAAAUGCUUAGAUAUUACAUGGAAUACCAAUUGCGAAGGCAGGUUACUACGUAUUUAUUGACGCUGAUGAACGAAAGCGUGGGGAGCGAACAGGAUUAGAUACCCUGGUAGUCCACGCCGUAAACGAUGGAUACUAGCUGUUCGGUUUUCGGACUGAGUGGCUAAGCGAAAGUGAUAAGUAUCCCACCUGGGGAGUACGUUCGCAAGAAUGAAACUCAAAGGAAUUGACGGGGGCCCGCACAAGCGGUGGAGCAUGUGGUUAAUUCGAUGAUACGCGAGGAACCUUA
This 901-nucleotide ribosomal RNA is filed under the name Myroides odoratimimus subsp. xuanwuensis. Its description in RNAcentral is "bacterial SSU rRNA". It matches the Rfam family "Bacterial small subunit ribosomal RNA", at positions 68 to 973 of the family's 1533-position model. Lineage: Bacteria; Pseudomonadati; Bacteroidota; Flavobacteriia; Flavobacteriales; Flavobacteriaceae. The record is from RNAcentral.